RNAcentral lists this ribosomal RNA (468 nucleotides) under uncultured bacterium. RNAcentral describes it as "partial 16S ribosomal RNA". It matches the Rfam family "Bacterial small subunit ribosomal RNA", at positions 28 to 507 of the family's 1533-position model. The record is from RNAcentral.
GACGAACGCUGGCGGCGUGCUUAACACAUGCAAGUCGAACGGAAAGGCCCUGCUUUUGUGGGGUGCUCGAGUGGCGAACGGGUGAGUAACACGUGAGUAACCUGCCCUUGACUUUGGGAUAACUUCAGGAAACUGGGGCAAAUACCGGAUAGGAGCUCCUGCUGCAGGGGGGGGGUGGGAAGGUUUCGGCGGUGGGGGAUGGACUCGCGGCUUAUCAGCUUGUUGGUGGGGUAGUGGCUUACCAAGGCUUUGACGGGUAGCCGGCCUGAGAGGGUGACCGGCCACAUUGGGACUGAGAUACGGCCCAGACUCCUACGGGAGGCAGCAGUGGGGAAUAUUGCACAAUGGGCGGAAGCCUGAUGCAGCAACGCCGCGUGCGGGAUGACGGCCUUCGGGUUGUAAACCGCUUUCGCCUGUGACGAAGCGUGAGUGACGGUAAUGGGUAAAGAAGCACCGGCUAACUACGUG